Molecule: long non-coding RNA, 622 nt
Filed under: Salvia miltiorrhiza (redroot sage)
Lineage: Eukaryota; Viridiplantae; Streptophyta; Magnoliopsida; Lamiales; Lamiaceae
Description: long non-coding RNA (SMIL_LNC011728)
Source: RNAcentral
UUUUUAGAUUAAUUUAGAUUAUUUAUUUUUAAUGUAUAUUAUAAUAUGUGUAGAGCCAUAAAAAUGUUCAACAUGAGCAUAGGAGUAAGGGGGAGACAGAAUCUUUUGUGGGAAGUGAUCGAUGUAUGAAAUUCUUACCUUAACAUUAUGUUUCACUUGGAUUAAAUAGUAUGUUUGGUUGUUUACUAGUAUUAUUAAAUGUGACAGGGUCCACAACAACCUGAUGGGAAACAGUGUGGAUUCUAUGUUAUGCGAUACAUGAGAGAUUUAUUGAUAAUAUUGUAUCUGAUCACUCUCUCCCAAUAACUACACUGGUAAUUGUAAUUUAUAUUUUUAAUUAAAUUUUACUUCAAGACAAUUUCUAUAAUUUCAUAUUUGAUCACAAGUUUGUUUUUCUUAUAGUUUGCAGGAGGAUGCUACUCCAAAAAGGAAAUUGAUGAAGUAAGGAUAGAGUGGGCAGAAUUUGUAUGUAAAAUCACAGAUGAGUGAUGAUGGGUAAGUUUUAUAUAAAGUUAAUUUUUUAAUAUUUUUGAGAUAUAAGGUUAACAAAUUUUUAAAUUGAUACUUGAAAUAUUUUAAUAUUGCAGAUGGUGUAACUUGCUUGUUUUCGGUGUUUGCAGUU